Long non-coding RNA from Pteropus alecto (black flying fox), 528 nucleotides. RefSeq lists it as uncharacterized. The record is from RefSeq and is a predicted model, not a curated record. The transcript has 2 exons. NCBI's taxonomy places the organism in Eukaryota, Metazoa, Chordata, Mammalia, Chiroptera, Pteropodidae.
ACCCCCUCCCCCUCCCCGCGCUGGGAGAUGGAUGACUUGUCAGACAAAGGCAAUAGAUUCCACCACUCUGUGAUUCGCCAGCGCCGGAGCCCCGAGCUUCGGCGAGGAGGGCCCCGCGCCUGUCACUCCGGUGCCGGUCUGCGAAAGGGCGGCUCAGGGAAGCCAGCGCUGCGCUCCUGCUGCCCGGACUCCAGGCGCCUCUGGUCCUUGCCCGCACACCCUAACGCCGCGGUAGCGCAGAGGACUCGCGCCGCUGUCCCGCUGGCCGGAGCCCAGGCCGCAGCUAGGAUGGAGGCCGCACCCGCCGGGCUCAGCCAGGAGGAGCCUCCUACUGGGUCUCUUGUACUAGGGUUUUCAGGGUGCCCUUAAUCCUUGGGCGGGGCUAGCACCAGGCUCAACCCGACUAGAUUCUGAGUUUCCCACUCCUUAGGGAGUUGGUUCUGCUGAGGUCCUAGCAUUUGCCCUAUUUCCUGGAACCUCCUGAGCCCGAUCUGCUUAAUUCGCCUGCAGAGUAAUUUUUAGGGGGGG